CCUACGGGUGGCUGCAGUGGGGAAUAUUGCACAAUGGGCGCAAGCCUGAUGCAGCCAUGCCGCGUGUGUGAAGAAGGCCUUCGGGUUGUAAAGCACUUUCAGCGGGGAGGAAGGCGUUAAGGUUAAUAACCUUGUCGAUUGACGUUACCCGCAGAAGGAGCACCGGCUAACUCCGUGCCAGCAGCCGCGGUAAUACGGAGGGUGCAAGCGUUAAUCGGAAUUACUGGGCGUAAAGCGCACGCAGGCGGUCCGUCAAGUCGGAUGUGAAAUCCCCGGGCUCAACCUGGGAACUGCAUUCGAAACUGGCAGGCUAGAGUCUUGUAGAGGGGGGUAGAAUUCCAGGUGUAGCGGUGAAAUGCGUAGAGAUCUGGAGGAAUACCGGUGGCGAAGGCGGCCCCCUGGACAAAGACUGACGCUCAGGUGCGAAAGCGUGGGGAGCAAACAGGAUUAGAUACCCCAGGAGUC
RNAcentral lists this ribosomal RNA (465 nucleotides) under uncultured Klebsiella sp. RNAcentral describes it as "bacterial SSU rRNA". It matches the Rfam family "Bacterial small subunit ribosomal RNA", at positions 338 to 795 of the family's 1533-position model. The record is from RNAcentral. Lineage: Bacteria; Pseudomonadati; Pseudomonadota; Gammaproteobacteria; Enterobacterales; Enterobacteriaceae.